RNAcentral lists this ribosomal RNA (492 nucleotides) under uncultured bacterium. Its description in RNAcentral is "partial 16S ribosomal RNA". It matches the Rfam family "Bacterial small subunit ribosomal RNA", at positions 29 to 507 of the family's 1533-position model. The record is from RNAcentral.
AGUGAACGCUGGCGGUAGGCCUAACACAUGCAAGUCGAACGGCAGCACAGUAAGAGCCUGCUCUUACGGGUGGCGAGUGGCGGACGGGUGAGGAAUACAUCGGAAUCUACUUUUUCGUGGGGGAUAACGUAGGGAAACUUACGCUAAUACCGCAUACGACCUACGGGUGAAAGCAGGGGAUCUUCGGACCUUGCGCGAUUGAAUGAGCCGAUGUCGGAUUGGCUAGUUGGCGGGGUAAAGGCCCACCAAGGCGACGAUCCGUAGCUGGUCUGAGAGGAUGAUCAGCCACACUGGAACUGAGACACGGUCCAGACUCCUACGGGAGGCAGCAGUGGGGAAUAUUGGACAAUGGGCGCAAGCCUGAUCCAGCCAUACCGCGUGGGUGAAGAAGGCCUUCGGGUUGUAAAGCCCUUUUGUUGGGAAAGAAAAGCAGCAGGUUAAUACCCCGCUGUCCUGACGGUACCCAAAGAAUAAGCACCGGCUAACUUCGUG